This is a long non-coding RNA of Strongylocentrotus purpuratus (purple sea urchin), 1026 nucleotides long. RefSeq lists it as uncharacterized. Lineage: Eukaryota; Metazoa; Echinodermata; Echinoidea; Camarodonta; Strongylocentrotidae. The transcript is spliced from 3 exons. The record is from RefSeq and is a predicted model, not a curated record.
CCCUUCUAAGCGCGCGCAUAGAGUCGCAUGUCCCUUUUUCUCGUUGAGUGCGAGCCAUUUAUUACAAAUAAAUUGGUAAUAAAAACACUAUAAAAUACGGGCGUAAAGUCUGGGGAUAAUUGAUGAUAAACUAGAUACCGAUGCGGGGGAAAAACUGACAGUAUUAAUCACACGAAAGCUAAGAAAAAUAACUGUCAAUAUAUCUGCACGUGCGUCGUUCAGCAGGCUAUUUGAGUUGCCCAUGUAAAAGAGUGCUCAUGAGGUCACUAAAAGCUUUUUUUCCGUCAAUCAAUUUGAAUCAAUUUCAUCUGGGGUUUGGAAAGAGAGAAUAGUAGACUGUCAAUCAUACAUUCAUAUACUCGGAAACACGCACAGUAAAGAGGGCAUAAAAAAGGUGUUAUUGGCAAAUGUUGAAAUUUUUAUGGUUUCACAAAGAGAUUUAAUCGGCGUAUUAAUUGGCUAGCGAUAACAGAGGAACCGGGUGUACACCACCAAUUGCAUUUCGAGGGCGGAGUUUACCUUUCGCACGCUCGGCUCGGCCAGCGGACUCCAGUGGCAGCGAGAGAUUGCCCUCCUUCUUCACGUCACACCGCAAAACGGUAGCUUAUGCCAUGAGCGAUACUGUGUAUGCUGCAUGAACGCACAUUAUCAAAAUUUCAAUUGAGCAUUCAUACAUGUGUAUUAUAACAGUGCGGAGACUUAUGUGAUCAUUCCGUAGCAGACGUCGUUUGAUAUAUAAAACUUGACUUUCCUUUUUCGGAUAUCUAACAAUGUGAGGCUUCUUCUGAUUGACUGAUUAUCAAGAGGACCAAUUGAAAUGAUUGUCUGGAUAACUUUACUGUUGCUUCCCUUGGCUAUAUCGCAAGAUCCUCAGUGCUGUCAUCGGGUUAGGAGUCAUCCAUCAUGCCAGCAGACAUGUGAUCAGAUGGUGCUUGAAUCUACCACAGCAGGCAGGAGAAAGCACAUGGGUACCCUGCUAAAUGCUUGUCCUUCAACACUGGUAAGAAAAAGAAAAACCUUAUAUUG